RNAcentral lists this ribosomal RNA (303 nucleotides) under uncultured bacterium. Its description in RNAcentral is "partial 16S ribosomal RNA". It matches the Rfam family "Bacterial small subunit ribosomal RNA", at positions 510 to 808 of the family's 1533-position model. The record is from RNAcentral.
AGCAUAGCCGCGGUAAUACGUAGGGUGCAAGCGUUAAUCGGAAUUACUGGGCGUAAAGCGUGCGCAGGCGGUCCGCUAAGACAGAUGUGAAAUCCCCGGGCUUAACCUGGGAACUGCAUUUGUGACUGGCGGGCUAGAGUAUGGCGGAGGGGGGUAGAAUUCCACGUGUAGCAGUGAAAUGCGUAGAGAUGUGGAGGAAUACCGAUGGCGAAGGCAGCCCCCUGGGCCAAUACUGACGCUCAUGCACGAAAGCGUGGGGAGCAAACAGGAUUAGAGACCCCUGUAGUCCCUGUCUCUUAUACA